UCACUCACGGUCGAUUCAGCAACCAGCGAAGACCGUAUCCGUUUCCUCUUACGCGUGACAGCGCGCCGUGAGCUGAAAUGUGCGGCCUGGGAAGACAGACACGGCCUGGAGAAGAGAGGUCCUAAGAGUUACCGUACCAAUGGCAAGAGUUACCGCAACAGCACCCAUGACAUCGCCACGCUCGGCAGGCCGAGGAGCCACCAAGAGAACCUACAGGUUCACCUACGCUGAGACCUGCGGUGUUCUAAAAGUGCGGUGGGUGAUGGUAGGAUAUACAAGCGUACCGGCCCACCUGAAGCAAUGGAGACCGUACCUAUUUCUUCUCGCGGAUAGCGCACCGCAAGCCGAAAUCACGGUGCAGCCGCUUGAAGGGAGGCAAGGAGCUGGGGAAGACUAAUGCUGAAAGCUACCGUAACGCCCGCGACAACGUCCACGGCAUCGCCCAGCCAGCUCACCGUAUGCUUCUCCUCGGAGCCUCCAGCCUCAUCUACAAAAGUGACAUUGGUGUUCGAAAAGCUUUGCAUCAGCUCUGAACCCCAAAUCAGAGGAAGGGCGUGUGUCAGGUACUGAAGCCGAUUGAAGAAGCCACGAGUGCCGAAAAGUGAUGCGCGAGUGCCGUACACCCCCGUGUUGUAUGCAGCCAAGUUCCUGAGGCACCGUGAAGAAAGACGGACUGUUGACGUGACGUGAUAUCACCACUUGGUAGGUGAGGGAACUUGAUGCGUGCACUCAUGUCUAGCGGAGCAAUCGACGUAAGACAGGACAGCAACAGCUACCGAUCAGCCACGUUGUAUACAGUACAAGAAGCACCAUGAACACUCGACUGGUGAUAUCACACCUGUAAGUUGAUCUUACUCAACUUGCUCCAAUGACGUGACGCCGAUGAUUCCUUUACACUUGCUUUAUAUAGCCGUAAAGCUGUUGUAAUUAUAUCCAAGAAAAUGUUAGCCUGGUCAUCUUGUUCUUAUGCCUGUGAUUUGACUUCUUUUGGAGUGACAAGAAGCUGGGAAGGAGACGUCUCGGCAGCUGCCAGUCAGGAGAGACUACCCAGUGUUCGUGUCAGAAGUUAUUGUUGUAUUUUCGUGAGAGCUUACGUGUCCCAUAUAUGUAAUUCGUAGGCAAACGAGUUUGAUUUAACGUUCUUCGUAGAGAAUCUAGUCUUAUUCACGUAAUUCGUAGAAAGGUGACCAAGUGUUUUGUAAUUGCUUUCCUUGAUUUUCGCGUGAUAUGUAAGGAGUUCUUCUGAAUUCAGUGUAAAGCGUAAUCAGACCAACCACCCCCAGGCAGGCAGGCAUUCUUAGCAACCUCAAGUUUUAUCAGCAACAUUUUUAUUUUCAUUUUCAAAUUGUAUUAUGCUAUUCCAGUACUGGACUCUCGAUGGCUGGCUCCAAAUUUUU
Molecule: long non-coding RNA, 1397 nt
Organism: Branchiostoma floridae (Florida lancelet)
Lineage: Eukaryota; Metazoa; Chordata; Leptocardii; Amphioxiformes; Branchiostomatidae
Exons: 4
Source: RefSeq, a predicted model, not a curated record